ACAAAUGCAAACUUUAAUUCCAUACAAUCAUUUCAAUGUAAGAUUUAAAAUCUAUGAAACUAUUAUUUUAUGGUUUAUAAAAUGUGUAAAAAAUUUUACAGGAAGUUUAGAUAAUUAUUUAUUAAUGUGUUUGUGCACAAUAGACCUAUAUUGGUCGCAGUGCUCGGGCUGUAUAGGCCCCUCCCUCUCUACUACUACUACUAUUAAUGUGUUUAAAAGACUAUAGAUAUUAAUAUAAAACCUUUUUAUUCACCUGUUGAUAAACCACAUUUAUUUUGAAUUUCUAUGCAUUUUUUCCCCAUGUAUUGUCUCUAUAUUUGAAAAGCUUAGUAUUAUAUAAACAAGGGUAAUCUUUAAUUGCCUCAAUAAAAAAUUCAACAUUGCUAUUUGAAUGCUCU
Molecule: long non-coding RNA, 398 nt
Filed under: Androctonus crassicauda
Lineage: Eukaryota; Metazoa; Arthropoda; Arachnida; Scorpiones; Buthidae
Source: RNAcentral